AACGAACGCUGGCGGCAUGCCUAACACAUGCAAGUCGAGCGCCCCGCAAGGGGAGCGGCGGACGGGUGAGUAACGCGUGGGAACGUACCCUUUGCUACGGAAUAGCCUCGGGAAACUGGGAGUAAUACCGGAUGUGUCCUUCGGGAGAAGGAUUUAUCGGCAAGGGAUCGGCCCGCGUUGGAUUAGGUAGUUGGUGGGGUAAUGGCCUACCAAGCCGGCGAUCCAUAGCUGGUUUGAGAGGAUGAUCAGACACACUGGGACUGAGACACGGCCCAGACUCCUACGGGAGGCAGCAGUGGGGAAUCUUAGACAAUGGGCGCAAGCCUGAUCUAGCCAUGCCGCGUGAGCGAUGAAGGCCUUAGGGUUGUAAAGCUCUUUCAGGGGGGAAGAUAAUGACUGUACCCCCAGAAGAAGCCCCGGCUAACUCCGUG
RNAcentral lists this ribosomal RNA (431 nucleotides) under uncultured bacterium. Its description in RNAcentral is "partial 16S ribosomal RNA". It matches the Rfam family "Bacterial small subunit ribosomal RNA", at positions 29 to 507 of the family's 1533-position model. The record is from RNAcentral.